Molecule: long non-coding RNA, 1822 nt
Organism: Tribolium castaneum (red flour beetle)
Lineage: Eukaryota; Metazoa; Arthropoda; Insecta; Coleoptera; Tenebrionidae
Exons: 4
Source: RefSeq, a predicted model, not a curated record
GGUUGGGGAAUGCGAAUAGACAGUUUCAGGUGUUACUUUCAUGACCAAACGCGCAUCAAACGAGCAAAUAAGUGAGGAAGAACAACUUCUGGUAAUAUUAGCAUAUUUUCCGCGUUCGGACGCAUCUGCUGCCGUCACUGUGUAAUAUUGACGAAUGACUCACAAUGUAAUUGAACGGAGCGGCGGGCGGCGACAUCCUGCCCAUACCCGGAAUUAAAAUCCCAACUUCUAGGAUAAUUUUCGGGCCGACAAUUCUUGUUCAACAAACGAAUUUAUCAAUCAAAAAAUAAGUGGUGCGUUAUAAAGCAAUCUCGGAGCUAUAUUGGAACGGGACUGCCUGUCUCAUUUUCUUUCUACAAAUACAACCGUGGCACACACACGCUCAUCGUGUGGACACGCAACUCACGUGUGUCACGCACUUUGAGUAAGACAUCAUCAAAGUUGCGUACGCGCAUUCGACACACACGAUCUAAUUAGGCACGUACAUACAUUGAUUGUUUAUUACCAUAGUCUAGAUGGUCACAGGAAUGCAAAGCAGUUACGCGGCCAGAGAAAACUUACAAAAAACUGUAACGGGAAGUAAACCCACACAGCCCAAACGACAUAUCAAAAAACUAAUUUGUUAAUAAAGACGAUUAAUAAUUAAUUCUACUUAAAGAACCACAAACAAGCCAUUUUUCGGCAGCUUUCUGUAAAUUGUUUCCAAGAACGGGUCGCCAGGAGCCACAGUAAUUGUGCCUCAACAGGCCGUUUAAGUUGCAAUUUACGUACACUGCUUGCUGACUUGAAAUAACUAGGUGAUGAAAUGUAAAGCGUUUUGAAGUCAGAAGCUGAACGAAAAAAUUAUGAACCCGAAUUUUAAAUCCAUUUUUAGACAAAAUCAUUCAUCAAAAGGUAUUGACAUCGACAAACGGUCAACGAAAACGUCAAAUGCCACUGCGAAAGUAUCACUUUAUUCUGAUAUUUUGUAGAAUACAUUUUUUUCUUUAAACAUAUUUUAAGCAAUUGCAUAAAAAGAAUGAAAACACAAUAAUUAUUCAUAUCAGAGGACUACCUAGGAAUUGUCUCCUCUGUGAAAAUACCAGUGUGCCAAAAAACUUCGCCCUUUCGUUACAUGAAACGAAACCGUCGUCACUACAACUAAAGAAAGGGAAAACGCAGCAAAUGGAAUAGGUCUUGACUCUGGUAUUGCAGACAAAUGAUUGUGUUUUACCUAGUUAAUGGCUAAAAAUAGAAAAAAACUCACCCUUAACCGAAGAAGUCAUAGACGUGCACUGAUCGUUUUAUCUGCAAAAGAGAACAAAACCGUAAGGCCACAAAGACGUGCGCUGCAACAAUACGCCAUCACUUUCGAAUGCGCUUAUUUGGACGGAAUUUAUUCGAUUGAAAUUCUCUCUCACACAAGCAAUUCGGGCGCACAAUAUGACUAAAUUGAAUAUUAGAGAAUGCAAACGAAAAUUGAAUAAUAAAACGGGAUGGCAUCGGGGGGCAGGUAAUAAAUUUAAUCCCCUAAUUUGGCAAGAAGGGCGCGUCUAUUGUACCAAGACCCCUCAUUCCGUAUUAUUUAAUAUGUCCCACGAUUUCAGUGCGUUUUGGAUUAACGACCAUCGCGCAAUUUUGAUUUAUCGAUCAAGCCGAAGAUUAUGGGGAAUGCAGCAGGUGGGGAUCGCAAUUAACAUGGAAAUGUAUAUUGUGUUGCUUUAAUUGAGAUAUUUAAAUUUUAAAUAUGGUUUGAUUACUUCUUUUGUUUUCGUUUAUUCAUUAUUUAGCAAGCUUGAUGCUUGCGCUUACUCCGGGUUAAAUUAUUUGCCUUUAUUUACAU